GCUCGCAGUCGUGCGUGGACUCGCCUCCCUCCACCUCCCCCACCUCCCCUUUUCCUCACGGUAUACGGUGUAGAUUCAGCGAAGAAACAUCCACGCGUCAGAGUGAUGAAUGUCUCCUUCCUGCGAGUGACCUCCAAGGUCAGCAGCAGCGGUGGGGGGAAAAAAAUGCGGCCCAUUUCCCUCCCGGCAGCAACAGCAAGGGAAGAAGUCUUUUUUUAACAGCCAGAGAGUCAGAUUUCCUCUAACAACAAAACAACCGGCAAAUCGUGUUUUCCUGGUUGCGUUUAUAAGGAAAGUGAAAUCUAAAGGGAGUUACUACAGCCUCACACAACCAUACAGACCAGCCAUCGAAAGCAGCAGAUUAUUUAGGAUGAUGAUGACGUCAGCAAGAAUUACUGUGCUGUGUGGCUGUGUGGCUCUGCUCCUGACCCUGACUUCUGUGUCAGCUGUAAUACCAAUACUCAAUUCAAUCAAUGAUUUGAUUGAGGUAGACUUCGGCCAGUCUGUGCCGAUCCACAGUCUUGUGCUGCUCCACUGGUUUGCCAACACUGUUGACAUUGACAGAAACGAUGUCAUACAUCUGACCUUUAACCCAAACCAUGAUUAUAGUUCACACUAUUAUGGCAACAGAGGGGAUCUGUUUGAACUAUCACUGGGAUCCAGAUACUACAGCAUUGGUAACAUCAAUGAAUCAACAGCAGCCCAAUUUCCACCUCAUGUCCGAGCCCAGUCAGGACAUGGAAACAGAGUUCGAGUCGUUAUUAGAGUCAGGGAGGCAUCUGGGGUGCGACAAGUAGAGCGAGUCUAUAUCACGCAGCAUUGUUACCCAUUUAACCAUGAAAGGUCAGAUUAUGAUCCAGGUCAAAGGUACGAGGUCACUACCAACCUCUUAAGACAGAUAAGAGAGUUUUCUAUGGACAGUCAUGACAUGAAAUCUUUAAGGUAUCUUAGGGAUCGCUUUGGAAGCAGUGCUGAUGAUUUGCAGUUAGAGCGCAUCAGAAACAUGUGGGGUCACCUUGCUUCUCUCGGACUGUUGUUCCACAUUGUGGGGUAUACUGGGCCAGUACAAUCCUACUGUAACCAAGUCCAGUUGGCAUCGAGAAGAAAUGAUUCAUGGAGCAACAUUCAAGACUGUCUAGGUUUCUUAUGUCGUUUGUUGUUUGCAGUUUUUUUGGUAGUUGCUGUUUUGUUUUCUCUUUUGUUAGCAGCAGCAAAUAAAAAGUGAGUAAACAAUGAGAAGAGAAAACUUGUUCCAAGAUAGACUCAAACUAACUGUAACUGUUGGACCAGAAAACCAUCUGGAUCUUUAUUUUGAACAUGGUCUUCACUUGUUUUGGGGAAAAAAAAAAAAAACAAUUAGCCAGUUGCAACAUCUGUAGUACCACUGAUGAGAAAUUUUGUAAAAGUGUUAUAAAACUUUCCACUUUUCACUUUUUAUUUUUACUCUCUAAUAUGAGUUAAUUUUGUGCUAAGUUUGAAAGUUUUAAAUGGACAGACCCACAGCAUGCUUGCAGUGAAAAUCAAUAUUUUGUAUAUUAGCUACUCAAAAUGGUUCUUACUGUGUAUCAUCUGUACAAUGUCUACUCAUGUCUAAUCUAACAGUAGUGACUCACAGCAGAUUCAUCCAGUGAGGCUCAAGGACAAUAAUGCUGAUGGAGGAAUGACAGACAUGUUGAUUAAGAGUGUAUCUGACUGAUGCUUUUGCAUUUUCUCUGUAAUCUUGAAAAUUUUGUGCUCAUUAAACUGUAUUUUUAAGCGUGA
This is a long non-coding RNA of Oreochromis niloticus (Nile tilapia), 1761 nucleotides long. RefSeq lists it as uncharacterized. NCBI's taxonomy places the organism in Eukaryota, Metazoa, Chordata, Actinopteri, Cichliformes, Cichlidae. The transcript is spliced from 4 exons. The record is from RefSeq and is a predicted model, not a curated record.